AUUGAACGCUGGCGGCAUGCUUUACACAUGCAAGUCGAACGGCAGCGCGGGGGCAACCCUGGCGGCGAGUGGCGAACGGGUGAGUAAUGCAUCGGAACGUAUCCUGUAAUGGGGGAUAACGUAGCGAAAGUUACGCUAAUACCGCAUACGCUCGAGAGAGGAAAGUGGGGGAUCGCAAGACCUCACGUUAUAGGAGCGGCCGAUGUCCGAUUAGCUAGUUGGUGGGGUAAAGGCCUACCCAGGCGACGAUCGGUAGCUGGUCUGAGAGGAUGAUCAGCCACACUGGGACUGAGACACGGCCCAGACUCGUACGGGAGGCAGCAGUGGGGAAUUUUGGACAAUGGGCGAAAGCCUGAUCCAGCCAUGCCGCGUGCGGGAAGAAGGCCUUCGGGUUGUAAACCGCUUUAGUCCGGGAAAAAGGGGUGCGAGGAUAAUACCCUUGUGCUUUGAUGGUACUGGAAGAAUAAGCACCGGCUAACUACGUGCCAGCAGCCGCGGUAAUACGUAGGGUGCGAGCGUUAAUCGGAAUUACUGGGCGUAAAGCGUGCGCAGGCGCUCUUGUAAGACAGUCGUGAAAGCCCCGGGCUUAACCUGGGAACUGCGAUUGUGACUGCAAGGCUAGAGUGUGUCAGAGGGGGGUGGAAUUCCACGUGUAGCAGUGAAAUGCGUAGAGAUGUGGAGGAACACCGAUGGCGAAGGCAGCCCCCUGGGAUAACACUGACGCUCAUGCACGAAAGCGUGGGGAGC
This 747-nucleotide ribosomal RNA is filed under the name uncultured Azonexus sp. RNAcentral's name for it is "bacterial SSU rRNA". It matches the Rfam family "Bacterial small subunit ribosomal RNA", at positions 28 to 769 of the family's 1533-position model. Lineage: Bacteria; Pseudomonadati; Pseudomonadota; Betaproteobacteria; Rhodocyclales; Azonexaceae. The record is from RNAcentral.